This 85-nucleotide ribosomal RNA is filed under the name Escherichia coli. The record is from RNAcentral. Lineage: Bacteria; Pseudomonadati; Pseudomonadota; Gammaproteobacteria; Enterobacterales; Enterobacteriaceae.
ACCCCAUGCCGAACUCAGAAGUGAAACGCCGUAGCGCCGAUGGUAGUGUGGGGUCUCCCCAUGCAAGAGUAGGGAACUGCCAGGC